UUGACGGGACCGUACCAUUACAGAACGCCCAGCUCAAUGCCAGGACCCGCGGUAAUACGGAGGUUAAGGGGGUAACCUGGAUUUAUUGGGUUUGGAGGGUCCGGUGGGGAAUUUGUAAGUUAAGGUUGAAAUCUACUCCCUAAACUGUAAAACUGAAAUUGAUAUUAAAAGGGUGGAAUUGAUUGGAGGAAAGGGAAAUGGAUUUUGUAGGGGUGAAAUGGUUAGAUUUAAGAUGAAAAACAAAUUGGGAAGGCAAGGUAAUACGCUGAAAUUGAGGCUGAGGAACGAAACAAAGGGGAUGGAAAGGGAUUAGAUACCCUGGUAGUCCACGCCGUAAACUAUGGAUACUA
This 350-nucleotide ribosomal RNA is filed under the name uncultured bacterium. RNAcentral's name for it is "bacterial SSU rRNA". It matches the Rfam family "Bacterial small subunit ribosomal RNA", at positions 469 to 818 of the family's 1533-position model. The record is from RNAcentral.